UACGUAGGGGGCAAGCGUUAUCCGGAUUUACUGGGUGUAAAGGGAGCGUAGACGGUUAUGCAAGUCUGAAGUGAAAGCCCAAGGCUCAACCAUGGGACUGCUUUGGAAACUGUAAAACUGGAGUGCAGGAGAGGUAAGCGGAAUUCCUAGUGUAGCGGUGAAAUGCGUAGAUAUUAGGAGGAACACCAGUGGCGAAGGCGGCUCACUGGACUGUAACUGACGUUGAGGCUCGAAGGCGUGGGGAGCAAACAGG
RNAcentral lists this ribosomal RNA (253 nucleotides) under uncultured bacterium. RNAcentral describes it as "partial 16S ribosomal RNA". It matches the Rfam family "Bacterial small subunit ribosomal RNA", at positions 524 to 776 of the family's 1533-position model. The record is from RNAcentral.